RNAcentral lists this ribosomal RNA (267 nucleotides) under Pelagomonas calceolata. RNAcentral describes it as "partial Bacterial large subunit ribosomal RNA". It matches the Rfam family "Bacterial large subunit ribosomal RNA", at positions 2199 to 2477 of the family's 2925-position model. Lineage: Eukaryota; Pelagophyceae; Pelagomonadales; Pelagomonadaceae. The record is from RNAcentral.
ACCACCCUUUGCUUAUCUAGAGUCUAACGUCUAACGACGGACAGUGCUUGGUGGGUAGUUUGACUGGGGUGGUCGCCUCCAAAAGAGUAACGGAGGCUUCUAAAGGUUCCCUCAGCACGCUUGGUAACCGUGCGUAGAGUGCAAUGGCAUAAGGGAGCUUGACUGAGAGACAUACAGGUCGAUCAGGUACGAAAGUAGAGCAUAGUGAUCCGGUGGUUCCGCAUGGAAGGGCCAUCGCUCAAAGGAUAAAAGGUACUCCGGGGAUAA